CCUACGGGAGGCAGCAGUGAGGAAUAUUGGUCAAUGGGCGCGAGCCUGAACCAGCCAAGUAGCGUGAAGGAUGACUGCCCUACGGGUUGUAAACUUCUUUUAUAAAGGAAUAAAGUGAGGCACGUGUGCCUUUUUGUAUGUACUUUAUGAAUAAGGAUCGGCGAACUCCGUGCCAGCAGCCGCGGUAAUACGGAGGAUCCGAGCGUUAUCCGGAUUUAGUGGGUUGAAUGGGAGCGUAGAUGGGUUGUUAAGUCAGCGGUGAAAGUCGGUGGCUCAACCAGAGAAUUGCCGUUGAAACUGGGGGGCUUGAGUAUGUUUGAGGCAGGCGGAAUGCGUGGUGUAGCGGUGAAAUGCUUAGAUAUCACGCAGAACCCCGAUUGCGAAGGCAGCCUCCCAAGCCAUGACUGACGCUGAUGCACGAAAGCGUGGGGAUCAAACAGGAUUAGAUACCCCUGUAGUC
Molecule: ribosomal RNA, 460 nt
Filed under: uncultured bacterium
Lineage: Bacteria
Description: partial 16S ribosomal RNA
Rfam family: Bacterial small subunit ribosomal RNA
Source: RNAcentral